CCGAGUGAGGGCCUCUGGCCCGACCUCCAACCCUUUGUUGACCGAAACCUGUUGCCUCGGGGGCGACCCGGCCUUCGUGCCGGGGCCCCCGGUGGACCAACCCAACUCUGUGUCUGUACGUCGGAGUACUUGAUGAAUCAAUCA
Molecule: unclassified non-coding RNA, 144 nt
Filed under: uncultured fungus
Lineage: Eukaryota; Fungi
Description: sequence contains ITS1, 5.8S rRNA gene
Source: RNAcentral